This is a long non-coding RNA of Alosa alosa (allis shad), 224 nucleotides long. RefSeq lists it as uncharacterized. The transcript has 2 exons. Lineage: Eukaryota; Metazoa; Chordata; Actinopteri; Clupeiformes; Clupeidae. The record is from RefSeq and is a predicted model, not a curated record.
AAAAAUGUAGUGUAUUGUUAUAUAUGAUUUUCGCCAAAGUAAAACAGCCUUGUUUAAUAGUUGUGAAUGGGAGCCACCCUUGGCCAUAUGGUGUACUGCAUAUCUGCUGCGUGUAGUCUUGUGUUGCUUCCCUACCCGAUCAGAGUAGCCGUAUGCUUUUGAUCUGAUGCUGUACGUGGUACACCGAAGCCUGAAGGCAAUGUUUUGAUUUAUUUUCUUAAAGG